GAUGAAGAACGUAGCGAAAUGCGAUAAGUAAUGUGAAUUGCAGAAUUCAGUGAAUCAUCGAAUCUUUGAACGCACAUUGCGCCCUCUGGUAUUCCGGGGGGCAUGCCUGUUCGAGCGUCAUUACGACCCUCAAGCUUUGCUUGGUAUUGGACAUUGCCAGUUUCUGGCAGGUCUUAAAAUCAGUGGCGGUGCCAUUUGGCUUCAAGCGUAGUAAUUCUUCUCGCUUUGGAGAUCCAGGUGGUUACUUGCCAAUAACCCCCAAUUUUUUCAGGUUGACCUCGGAUCAGGUAGGGAUACCCGCUGAACUUAAGCAUAUCAAUAAGCGGAGGA
This 330-nucleotide unclassified non-coding RNA is filed under the name soil metagenome. RNAcentral describes it as "partial contains 5.8S ribosomal RNA, internal transcribed spacer 2, and large subunit ribosomal RNA". The stretch from base 1 to 120 matches the Rfam family "5.8S ribosomal RNA", at positions 35 to 154 of the family's 154-position model. The record is from RNAcentral.